ACAACAAUCACUGAUUACAAAGAGAAGUACUGAGUUUGUACUACGCUCUCAUGGCGAACGUAGCUGAAGGUCUCAUAACGACUCUUCACACAACAAAUCUCAGCAUGAAAAACAAAUGAAAAUACAACGAGAGUCUUUUAUUUGAAAUCCUGAAAAUAUCUUCUUGGCAAAGCCUCCACCUCAGUCCUCGGCUUUGCUACCCACUUGUUGACCCGAACCCUCCAUUCCAAUCAGAGUCUCUCCACCCUCUGCUACUUCCAACUUCAAACCCCCAUUAUCCAUUUCCCUCUCUUCCAACGUCUCUCCACCCUUCUCAUGUCUCUUCCUCCGGAAAUACACACGCUGGAGCGUAUCAGUACCCCGCCCCACGAGACGAAGCUUGUCCUCAAGCGGAAAAGUAGGAAAUUGCCUCGCAAAUUCCCAACCCAACACCCACGAAGCCUCAUGUGUCGGCAAGCUCACCCACUGAACUAGAAUCUCCAAGUAUCCUUCCGCAGUGUAGCGAGUGUCCAAAAUCGAUUGAGGAAUCAAAAUGAACUCUCCCUGAUCCGAAAAUGUUGUCGGUAAAGAUGUCACCUGCUCUGCCGAGCCCACAACGGCCUUUAGCUGAGAAACAUGAAACACGUUGUGUACCCGAGACCCUUCUGGCAGACGUAAGCGAUACGCCACCUUUCCAAUACGCUCAAUGAUCUCAUAUGGGCCAUAGAAUUUGGCCGCAAGUUUCUGACAGAUACGGCGAGUCACAGACUGUUGUCUAUAUGGUCGGAGCUUCAGAAAAACCUUAUCGCCUACCGCGAAUUCCAAAUCCCGGCGAUGCUUAUCAGCCGAACGUUUCAUAGCUUCUUGCGCUCUGCUCAAAAACGCCUUCAACUGCUCAAGCAUGCGAUCACGCUCCAAUAACAUAGACUCCAGAUCAAAGUUAGCUGUAGACCCAACUUCAUAGUGACACAAGGAAGGAGGAUCGCGACCAUACACGACCUUGAAAGGUGUGGUGUGUAUGGAAGUGUGAUAACAUGAAUUAUACCAAUACUCUGCCCAACUCAAGUACUUGUACCACGUUUUUGGAUGUGCCGACGCAAAGCAGCGCAAAUAGGACUCCAAACAACGGUUCAAGACCUCCGUCUGACCGUCGGUUUGAGGAUGAAAGGCGGUGCUGUAUUUCAAUUGAGUGCCCGAAAGACGGAAACACUCCCUCCAGAACGUACUGAGAAACACCUUAUCCCGAUCAGACACGAUCGAGGAUGGAAACCCAUGGAGCUUGACAAUCUCCGAAAUGAAUUUGCUCGCAACAUCCAACGCAGAAUAAGGAUGCUUCAGACCAAAGAAAUGACUGUAUUUGCUUAGCCUGUCCACGACCACGAAAAUCACAUUGAAUCCUGAAGAAGCGGGCAACCCAUCAAUAAAGUCCAUGCUGAUGUCCUGCCAAACUUGAGAAGGAAUCGGGAGUGGUUGAAGAAGGCCAGAUGGAGACAGUGUAGAGGUCUUGUGAGUUUGACAAAUCACACACCGAGAAACAUACUCCUGAACCAUUACACGCAUUCCUUUCCACUGAAAAGAUUGCUGUAUGCGCUUCAAGGUCUUGAGCACUCCCGAAUGACCCCCAGUAAGACCAUCAUGACACUCUUGCAAAAUUAAAGGAACAAAGCGAGAUGUAUGAGGAAUCACCAACCGUUUCUUGUACCAAAGUUUGCCAUCAACGAUAGAGUAACCCUGUUUCACCGGUUCUCCCGCUAGUACUUGUUGCUUAAGAGCCUGUAUGUCCUCAGAAAGCUCAACCUCUGCAUAGAUAUCUUGCAACUGAAGCAUACGCGGCACUAUUAAAGCAAACAAGGACGAGCUAGUCCCCACGACAGAAGCCUGCAUCUAACGUGAAAGACCAUCAGCAGCUUUAUUCUCAAUUCCUGGCUUGUAUAGAAUGUCAAAUUGAAACCCCAUAAGACGCGUGAGCCAGCGCUGAUACUCCAUAGACACCUCACGCUGUUCAAGGAGAAAUUUCAAACUCUUUUGAUCAGUAUGGACCACGAAGCGACGACCCAUUAAGUAGUGCUUCCACUUAAGAAUAGCCAGAACAAUAGCCAUAAGCUCCCUUUCAUAUAUAGGCUUCAACUGUUCUCGAGGUGUUAAGCUGCGGCUGAAAUAAGCAAUAGGCCUAUUCUUCUGCAUUAACACAGCGCCCAAACCCACUCCUGAAGCAUCGGUCUCAACCACAAAAGGUUCAUUGAAAUCAGGUAACGCGAGCACAGGAGCCGUAGACAUGGCCUUCUUGAGUUGAUCAAACGCAAACUGAGCAAUCUGUGACCAACUGAACUUGUCCUUGCGCAACAGAUCAGUCAACGGUUUAGCCAAGAUACCAUAGUGAUACACGAAACGGCGGUAAUACCCCGUAAGACCCAAGAAUCCCCUCAAGUCCUUGACAGUCCGUGGUAUCGGCCAGCGCUGCAUAGCUUCAGUCUUAGAACUGUCCGUUGCCACACCCUCCGCCGAAAUGAUGUGACCAAGGUAUUCUACUUGUGGCUGCGCAAAGACGCAUUUCUUCCGGUUAGCAAACAACUUCUGAUCAGCCAAUACCUUAAGCACCACCCGAAGAUGUUCCACAUGCUCACUUUCAGUCGCACUAUAUACCAAAAUAUCAUCAAAGAAGACCAAGACAAACUUCCUCAAAUAAGGACGAAAAAUCUCAUUCAUCAGUCCUUGAAACGUAGCCGGAGCGUUAGUGAGACCGAACGGCAUCACCAAAAACUCAUAAUGACCCUCAUGUGUGCGAAAAGCUGUCUUCUCCACAUCACAAUCCUUCAUACGUAUCUGAUGAUACCCCGAACGUAAAUCCAACUUUGAAAACACCGACAUACCAUAAAGCUCAUCCAACAACUGAUCAAUCAUUGGAAUCGGGUACUUGUCAGGAACGGUAGCUCUGUUUAACGCCCUGUAAUCCACACAAAAACGAUGUGACCCAUCCUUCUUACGAACUAGCAACACAGGACUAGAAAACGGGCUACAACUUGGUCUGAUAAUUCCACUCUGCAACAUCUCUGCAACCAUCGUAGACAUGGCUUCCUUACUCGCAUGUGGAUAGCGAUAAGGACGGACCGAGAUCGAAGUAACACCCGGGGUCAAAUGUAUCGCAUGUUCUCUGCCACGACCCGGCGGAAGUUCCGUAGGUAUGGCAAAAACCCCCACAAAUUCUUCUAACAACUCUUCCACCACCGCCGGAACCCGAGUGUCAACCACAGAAGCUUCCCCUAACUCCAAUACAUCUUCAAAGUCAGGAACCCGCAUUGAACGGAGCGCCACAGCCUGAAAGUGAAGAGAAGAAUCACCACGUAACGUUAACGUCUGGGCGCCGUGUUUAAAUGACAUCUCUUGUGUCUCCCAAUUCAUCAAACACGUGCCUAACGUUCGCAACCAAGAGAUUCCCAAGAUAACAUCCGCUCCACCCAAUUCCAGAGCCACAAAGUCUCCCUUGAACGACACUCCUUGUAGUUGAAAAGGAACAGUCCUACAAAUUCCCAAAGCUUCAACGUUAACCCCCGUUCCAAGUAAGACCUGAAACUUCUUUUCCGUAGAUAACGGUAAAGUUGCCUUGUCAACCACGUGAGGAGCCACAAAGUUAUGUGUAGCACCACUGUCGAUCAUUACUACAAAUUCCUGCUGUCCAAAUAUCCCUUUAACCUUCAUCGUUGUCGGUGUAUCAAUCCCCAGGAAGGCAUUAAAAGAUAACUCCAUUGGUCUCUGAUCCAACUCCUCCACAGCACCAUCCCAUGCAAACACCCCCUCAUCCAAAAUUUCUACCUCAAAUCCAUUGAUUACUGUUAACACCUGCAACUCCUUCUUUGGACAGAAAUGAGGUUUAACAUACGGUCCCUUACACUUGAAGCAAAUACCAUCUCUCCUCAUCUGAUCCAGCUCCGCAUCCGUAUAUUUCAAGCGAGGUCGAAACGUUCCAGAUGCCGGAGCAGCAUUCUUCUCACCCGUAGCUACCGUACGUCCAGUAUUACUAGACCACGUCCUCCCAAACGUACUCGCUGUUGAUCGACGCCCUUGACUAUCAACCGCCACCGCUCCCACAGAUUUACAGAAUGCACUACCCUCCAUACUGAUCACCGCUGUAAUGUGCUCCGUUAAUCCCUUAGGUUCCUUCAUCUUAAUCACCUCCUGCAUCUCUGGCUUCAAACCAUUGUAAAACACAUGGACCAAAUUACGCUCAUCCACUCCUGUCACAAUAGAUCGCAAGGCCUCAAACUCAUUCACAUAAUCCAUAAUCGAACCUGUUUGUUUCAAAGAAAACAAACGCUUCCCAGGUUCAUCCUCCAACCUCUGGCGAAAUCGUGACACCAAUCUCCUCUUAAAUUGCAUCCAAUCAAUAAAUGGUUCAGUCUCCAUCUCUGCGUUGAACCAAUUCAACACUGGUCCUUCCAAACUCAUUGAGACGAACUGCAACCUUUCUCUACCAUGGAAAUUCCCAAUCCGAAAAUACCUCUCCACUCGAGCCAACCACUCAAAUGGAUCCUUCCCCGAAAACACUGGCAUCUCUACCUUCUUCAACAAGCUUUCAUGAUUCUCAAACACCGAAGGAGGUAGUUGAUAACCUUGAUUAACAGCUCCCAUACCUGAUCUUGUAGAAGAAGAUAGUUCCGGAGGAGGCGAUCGCGGUGAAGCGAUCCUCUUCCCUUGUGCUUUCUCCGUUUGUUGAUCCAACAGUAACUGAGUCAGACGAUCGAAUCGCUUAUCCAACGAGUCGAAACGAGCAUCGUAAGACGCUAAUCUCGUUUCCACCGAUCGGAAGUGUUCUUCCGUCACCUGCGCCUUGAUCUGCAAUCGUUCGCACUCAGAAUGAAGAAACGAGAUCUCAUAGCUCGUCGCCAUCUUCGAAUCCACUCCAUCACCCAAAGUAUCACCACCAUCAUCACUAGUCGCCAUCGCCAGUCCGAUCGUUCACAACGCACCAAUUUGAUAAGAUCUGAAGCACGAACUCUCUUAUCAACACCUCUCUUUGAACAAUGUAUGUGUAUAAGGGAAUGAAUCGAUCAAAUGAUAUAAACAACAAUCACUGAUUACAAAGAGAAGUACUGAGUUUGUACUACGCUCUCAUGGCGAACGUAGCUGAAGGUCUCAUAACGACUCUUCACACAACAAAUCUCAGCAUGAAAAACAAAUGAAAAUACAACGAGAGUCUUUUAUUUGAAAUCCUGAAAAUAUCUUCUUGGCAAAGCCUCCACCUCAGUCCUCGGCUUUGCUACCCACUUGUUGACCCGAACCCUCCAUUCCAAUCAGAGUCUCUCCACCCUCUGCUACUUCCAACUUCAAACCCCCAUUAUCCAUUUCCCUCUCUUCCAACGUCUCUCCACCCUUCUCAUGUCUCUUCCUCCGGAAAUACACACGCUGGAGCGUAUCAGAA
RNAcentral lists this long non-coding RNA (5395 nucleotides) under Brassica rapa (field mustard). RNAcentral describes it as "long non-coding RNA (BRAP_LNC007792)". The record is from RNAcentral. Lineage: Eukaryota; Viridiplantae; Streptophyta; Magnoliopsida; Brassicales; Brassicaceae.